Molecule: small nucleolar RNA, 135 nt
Organism: Camelus dromedarius (Arabian camel)
Lineage: Eukaryota; Metazoa; Chordata; Mammalia; Artiodactyla; Camelidae
Gene: SNORA70
Rfam family: Small nucleolar RNA SNORA70
About the family: snoRNA U70 seems to be exclusive to mammals and is a member of the H/ACA class of snoRNA which contain H (ANANNA) and ACA box motifs. H/ACA box snoRNAs are involved in the conversion of uridines to pseudouridines (5-ribosyluracil) a constituent of structural RNAs (transfer, ribosomal, small nuclear, and small nucleolar).
Source: Ensembl
CUGCAGCCAAUUAAGCCAAUCAUGUUCUUUUCCUCAUGGGGGUCCUGGCGCCCAACGGCUGCAGACAGCAGCCUCCUUGGUAGUGAAUGCAGCCUGUGGCUCAUGUGCGUUGCCCAAAGGGACAAGGAGACAGCU